This 253-nucleotide ribosomal RNA is filed under the name uncultured bacterium. RNAcentral describes it as "partial 16S ribosomal RNA". It matches the Rfam family "Bacterial small subunit ribosomal RNA", at positions 524 to 776 of the family's 1533-position model. The record is from RNAcentral.
UACGUAGGGUGCAAGCGUUGUCCGGAAUUAUUGGGCGUAAAGCGUGCGCAGGCGGUUCGUUAUGUCCGAUGUGAAAGCCCCGAGCUCAACUUGGGAAUGGCAUUGGAAACUGGCGGGCUGGAGUGUGGCAGAGGGGGGUGGAAUUCCACGUGUAGCAGUGAAAUGCGUAGAGAUGUGGAGGAACACCGAUGGCGAAGGCAGCCCCCUGGGCCAACACUGACGCUCAGGCACGAAAGCGUGGGGAGCGAACAGG